GAAGGACCAGAGGUUCCACUCUGUAUUCACUCUACACGGACUCUAAAUAUUCUUGUGUGGGGUUCGAGCCAGAGAAAAGUGGAGCUUUUCCUAUACUGUCGAGCUUGGUGGCGACAGGAGGGCCGGUGGGGGAGGUGGUGAUCUCGUCGGAACAGAGGGUGUAUGACGUGGUGGUGAAGCAGGCUGCGCUGGUGAAGGAGGUGA
Molecule: unclassified non-coding RNA, 204 nt
Filed under: Hevea brasiliensis (rubber tree)
Lineage: Eukaryota; Viridiplantae; Streptophyta; Magnoliopsida; Malpighiales; Euphorbiaceae
Source: RNAcentral